UCAUGUAUAUUGGGGGGCUGGGUCAUUCCCGGCUGAGACGAGUGAAUCGAAGCUCGAUACCCACAGACCUGAUCCGGAUAAUGCCGGCGUAGGAAACGAAAUCUAUCAUACU
This is a regulatory RNA element of Firmicutes bacterium CAG:103, 112 nucleotides long. It matches the Rfam family "TPP riboswitch aptamer (THI element)". Rfam says of the family: Vitamin B(1) in its active form thiamin pyrophosphate (TPP) is an essential coenzyme that is synthesised by coupling of pyrimidine and thiazole moieties in bacteria. Lineage: Bacteria; Bacillati; Bacillota. The record is from Rfam.